Molecule: ribosomal RNA, 734 nt
Filed under: uncultured endophytic bacterium
Lineage: Bacteria
Description: bacterial SSU rRNA
Rfam family: Bacterial small subunit ribosomal RNA
Source: RNAcentral
AACAGGAUUAGAUACCCUGGUAGUCCACGCUGUAAACGAUGUCGAUUUGGAGGUUGUGGGCAUGACCCGUGGCUUCCGGAGCUAACGCGUUAAAUCGACCGCCUGGGGAGUACGGCCGCAAGGUUAAAACUCAAAUGAAUUGACGGGGGCCCGCACAAGCGGUGGAGCAUGUGGUUUAAUUCGAUGCAACGCGAAGAACCUUACCUACUCUUGACAUCCAGAGAAUUCGCUAGAGAUAGCUUAGUGCCUUCGGGAACUCUGAGACAGGUGCUGCAUGGCUGUCGUCAGCUCGUGUUGUGAAAUGUUGGGUUAAGUCCCGCAACGAGCGCAACCCUUAUCCUUUGUUGCCAGCACGUAAUGGUGGGAACUCAAAGGAGACUGCCGGUGAUAAACCGGAGGAAGGUGGGGAUGACGUCAAGUCAUCAUGGCCCUUACGGGUAGGGCUACACACGUGCUACAAUGGCAUAUACAAAGAGAAGCGAACUCGCGAGAGCAAGCGGACCUCACAAAGUAUGUCGUAGUCCGGAUUGGAGUCUGCAACUCGACUCCAUGAAGUCGGAAUCGCUAGUAAUCGUAGAUCAGAAUGCUACGGUGAAUACGUUCCCGGGCCUUGUACACACCGCCCGUCACACCAUGGGAGUGGGUUGCAAAAGAAGUAGGUAGCUUAACCUUCGGGAGGGCGCUUACCACUUUGUGAUUCACGACUGGGGUGAAGUCGUAACAAGGUAGCCGUA